Molecule: non-coding RNA, 29 nt
Filed under: Bombyx mori (domestic silkworm)
Lineage: Eukaryota; Metazoa; Arthropoda; Insecta; Lepidoptera; Bombycidae
Source: RNAcentral
UCAUACUCUGUAGAAGCAUCCCAUGCAAU